UACAGGGGGUGCAAACGUUGCUCGGAAUUAUUGGGCGUAAAGCGCGCGUAGGCGGCCACUUAAGUCGGAUGUGAAAGCCCCUGGCUCAACUGGGGAAGUGCACCCGAAACUGAAUGGCUUGAGUGCGAAAGAGGGUCGCGGAAUUCCCGGUGUAGAGGUGAAAUUCGUAGAUAUCGGGAGGAACACCGGUGGCGAAGGCGGAUCUCUGGGCCUUACCUGACGCUGAGGCGCGAAAGCUAGGGGAGCGAACAGG
Molecule: ribosomal RNA, 253 nt
Filed under: uncultured bacterium
Lineage: Bacteria
Description: partial 16S ribosomal RNA
Rfam family: Bacterial small subunit ribosomal RNA
Source: RNAcentral